RNAcentral lists this long non-coding RNA (485 nucleotides) under Equus asinus (donkey). Its description in RNAcentral is "lncRNA (ENSEASG00005028239.1)". The record is from RNAcentral. Lineage: Eukaryota; Metazoa; Chordata; Mammalia; Perissodactyla; Equidae.
UAGGAGCCGUGCAGAAUGUUGGGAGAGUUCUGACUUCCAUUCCUCAUUGGUGGAAGGCAGCCCCGGGGACACUGUCUACCCUGCACCUUCUGGCAGAUGUGGCCUGCAAGGAGGCUGAGCAGGCUCCGGCAGCACCAGAAAGAGCCUCAGGAAUUGCAGGUCAGCCCUUGCCAAUUCGAUUUACUCUGAGUCAAAAACCAAGGGGUGGAUGGCAAGGAGCCCUGGUAACCACACAGCCAGCAGCAUCGGUGGAUGGGGGCUCAGACCCUGUGCCUGACAAGGAAGACGGAGCAACAAAGCAUCUAUUUACUUUCAAUUCAUUUUGACAUAUCUUUAAAUGUGUGUGGCUUUUGUAAUCAUAAAAAAUAUUCGAAUUGUUAAAAAAACAAUUAUCUCUGGGGAUAGGAUUAUAAAGGAUUUCAUAUUCUAUACAUCUGAAAACCUUUGUUUUUGAAUGAUUUGGUCCCUGAACAGUGUAUUUUUUU